UUCAAAUAGGUCUCAGUAACCCAAAUUAAAUGUUUCAGAUCAAAGGAACAGCUUUUGCAACUAAUAAUUCAUAUGGAUUUUAGAUAAAAUACCACGACACAAGUAUUCUGAAGUCUAACAGAUGAUUUUUAGAAUUCAGUCCACUCUCCAAAGCUGGUGGGUUGGAGCAUUUGAGCCAUGCGACACAAUUUUGGGACCCUUGUAAACAUCACUUUGGUGUGAUAUUAAGCAGAGAUUAACACAUUGCAGCUCAGAGUUUGGCUUCAACCUUUUCUGCUCAGCAGGCACCUUCUACCUAAAUUAAUGAAAAUGGCAUUGAGUUACUGAAUGUAUUGGAAUGCCUACAUUUCUUGUCAUCCAGUAAGGAUAUAAAAUCAAUCAAUGAGUUGACUGAACGUGCCCUUCAGAAUAUGGGAUAUGAUCUUCAUUUUUCCCCACUCUACAAGGACAAAAAGAGAUGCAAAGAGAAUCUCAAGCGACUUGCUUAAGUCCACUGGGUAAGCCAAAAUAUAACCAGUUGUCAAAUCCAGAGCUUCUGACUUCUAAAUCUCCAUUUCUAACCUACUUGAGCUCUCCAUCUCCACUGAAUGGCUGCCACUCCAAGCAGAAAAGACGGAAAAUGUUUUUAAGGGGUAAUUGACGGCUGGGAGGCAACAGUGGUAGGCGGACUAGCCUGGAGUGUGUCAAUCCAUCAGGAACGGAAUUGCUGUGUUCAAGCAGAAGCAGAAUUGAAAGCGGCACCAGAUACUGAAACUAGUAAAUGCAACACUACAAUGAGGUACACUUUGUAAAUAUAAACCUUAUAAGUUAGAGCCUAAUUCCA
This is a long non-coding RNA of Tachyglossus aculeatus (Australian echidna), 823 nucleotides long. RefSeq lists it as uncharacterized. NCBI's taxonomy places the organism in Eukaryota, Metazoa, Chordata, Mammalia, Monotremata, Tachyglossidae. The transcript has 4 exons. The record is from RefSeq and is a predicted model, not a curated record.